Non-coding RNA from Pantherophis guttatus, 820 nucleotides. NCBI's taxonomy places the organism in Eukaryota, Metazoa, Chordata, Lepidosauria, Squamata, Colubridae. The record is from RefSeq and is a predicted model, not a curated record.
CUAUUUAGAUGUCCUCUUCAGUAUGAUUCCAGUGCCAUGAACUUGGCCACUAGGCUUCAUAUUUAAUGUGGAUAUCAUAAAUUAUUUGACUUGUGAUGUACUGUAUAUAUUUAACUUCCUUAUUAUGGUUACAUCACACAGCUAUCUACUCCGGUACUACAUAUUCUAACUGGUAAUAACACUGAAAUAGUUCUAGUUCUUUAUUUUUUGAAAUCACUUUAACAGGUAACAAAAACUUGACUAUUGGAAGACAAUUUAUCUCUGAUUGUUGCUCCUCUCUGUACAAUUUGGCAGGGCUGAUAUGCUCCAGUUCCAUCAGUUAAACAAUGGCACCUUAUGGGACCAAGUGCCACUUUCUCUGUUCCAGUGCCUGCCCAGUGGAAAAAUCUGUCCCCUCCCAAAUUUGUUUGGCCCAUCCCUGUUGGCCUUUAAAAAAGCCCUGAAGAAAUGGGACUUCCUACCUCUGCAAGGAGCUAUGCAAGAAAGACAGAUAUGCCUGCCAUAUAAUACAAGUCAUGGAUCUGUAUCUUGGCAAGUUUCUUCUUACUGGAAUCUUUGUCACAAAAGAUUGAGAAGUUAUCUAUACUAAUGAUGCAGCCAUACCGUGACCAUACGGUAAAUUUAAUCUCAUCUUUUGUCUUCAUCCACACAUUAAAUACGUAUUGACGGAAUGGGACAAUUUGCUGUGGCCACCUGGAUGCUGCCACCUGGACACUGGACACAAGCUGAAGGAGAGGUCUUUCUCCUCAAGCCCGGGUGCGACUGGUAGCUUGCCAGCACGGAUGCAGAUAAAAUUCCCCAAGCUCAGAAUGAUGUGUGU